UUGAAACUUACCUCUUCGCUUGGGUGU
RNAcentral lists this non-coding RNA (27 nucleotides) under Rattus norvegicus (Norway rat). Lineage: Eukaryota; Metazoa; Chordata; Mammalia; Rodentia; Muridae. The record is from RNAcentral.